Long non-coding RNA from Schistocerca serialis cubense, 252 nucleotides. RefSeq lists it as uncharacterized. Lineage: Eukaryota; Metazoa; Arthropoda; Insecta; Orthoptera; Acrididae. The record is from RefSeq and is a predicted model, not a curated record. The transcript is spliced from 2 exons.
GCCGUAGAGUUAGUGGGUUAAUCAUUCUCACGGCAGCAUUUGAAAUCCACCAAUGAACCAGCUACUAUGGACGCUCAAAUAUUUUGUCUCUCGUAAUUUCCUUCUGUCAUUGGAGACUUCAUUGGUACUGGCAAGGGGACAACCAGCAGGAUUAUUAACACUGGAUAACAUGCACAAGAGACAGUUUUAUUGAUCAUAUCUGUUCCCUGAUGUAAUUAAAUCAAAAUAAAAUGAGCAAAAGAAUAUGAACAA